GCUGGAGUAGCUCAGUUGGU
This 20-nucleotide non-coding RNA is filed under the name Arabidopsis thaliana (thale cress). Lineage: Eukaryota; Viridiplantae; Streptophyta; Magnoliopsida; Brassicales; Brassicaceae. The record is from RNAcentral.